RNAcentral lists this ribosomal RNA (394 nucleotides) under uncultured bacterium. RNAcentral describes it as "bacterial SSU rRNA". It matches the Rfam family "Bacterial small subunit ribosomal RNA", at positions 29 to 448 of the family's 1533-position model. The record is from RNAcentral.
AGCGAACGCUGGCGGCAGGCUUAACACAUGCAAGUCGAGCGGGCGUAGCAAUACGUCAGCGGCAGACGGGUGAGUAACGCGUGGGAACAUACCUUUUGGUUCGGAACAACACAGGGAAACUUGUGCUAAUACCGGAUAAGCCCUUACGGGGAAAGAUUUAUCGCCGAAAGAUUGGCCCGCGUCUGAUUAGCUAGUUGGUGAGGUAAUGGCUCACCAAGGCGACGAUCAGUAGCNGGUCUGAGAGGAUGAUCAGCCACAUUGGGACUGAGACACGGCCCAAACUCCUACGGGAGGCAGCAGUGGGGAAUAUUGGACAAUGGGCGCAAGCCUGAUCCAGCCAUGCCGCGUGAGUGAUGAAGGCCCUAGGGUUGUAAAGCUCUUUUGUGCGGGAAGA